RNAcentral lists this ribosomal RNA (774 nucleotides) under uncultured Neocallimastigales. RNAcentral describes it as "partial large subunit ribosomal RNA". It matches the Rfam family "Eukaryotic large subunit ribosomal RNA", at positions 22 to 643 of the family's 3401-position model. The record is from RNAcentral. Lineage: Eukaryota; Fungi; Neocallimastigomycota; Neocallimastigomycetes; Neocallimastigales.
GUACACGCUGUGACUAGCAUAUCAAUAAGCGGAGGAAAAGAAACUAACAAGGAUUCCCCUAGUAACGGCGAGUGAAGCGGGAAGAGCUCAAAUUUGAAAUCUUAAAGGGUUUCCCUUUACGAAUUGUAGUUUAAAGAAGUGUUUUCUGUUGAGGUUUUGGUAAAAGUUCUUUGGAAUAGGACAUCAUAGAGGGUGAGAAUCCCGUAUUUGACCUUUACUUUCAACUUUGUGAUACACUUUCAAAGAGUCGGAUUGUUUGGGAAUGCAGUCCAAAAUGGGUGGUAAAUUUCAUCUAAAGCUAAAUAUUGGCGAGAGACCGAUAGCGAACAGGUACCGUGAGGGAAAGAUGAAAAGAACUUUGAAAAGAGAGUUAAACAGUACGUGAAAUUGUCAAAAGGGAAGCGUUUGACACCAGUGUUGUUUUUCUGAAAAUCAAUUAAAGAACUGUUUAUGCUAAGUUGUUUAGACUUUAUCAGCUAACUGUUUAGUUUUGAGCUUUUCUUUAAUGCACUUUUCAGUUAACAAGUCAACAUCAAUUUCUUUUGCUGUAAAAAAGCUUGAGGAAGGUGGCUUGAGAUUCGUCUUAAGUGUUUAUAGCCUCUUGCCUAUGCAGUCGGAGAGAUUGAGGUCUGCAGCGUAGAUCCUUCGGGGCUAAAUGCAUUUGUGCUAAGUUAUAGCAUUUUAUAGACAACUUGUUGACUAUGAUUUGUCUUGUAGCUUACUCGCUUAUGUUAUUUUACCUACGCUUAGGAUGUUGAAGAUGUAGUACAUCAU